UGGGCUGCUUCCUGACUGUUGCUACAAGGCUCUCUCUGUAGUUGCACUUCUGGUAGUCCUUCCCCCCACCUGGCUGCUGGGAGAAGUGUUCUCUGUAGCUGCUGUGGAUUGGAAUGUGGACCAAUGGGCCUCCCAUGGCUUCCUUGGCAUGGGCCAAAUGCCACUGGUGUGCGCCCUCGCAGGACCACUGGCAGGGGCCCUGAAGCUUUUGCUUUUUUCCAGCUGGGUAGCCUGUAGCUCCGGCAGGGAGCGUGCCCUGGCAGUCCUCUCUUGGCUCUUUUAGUGCAGAUUGGGUGCUGCUAGCAUGAGGCCCUACAGGGCCACUGGGCAGAACCAUGGAUCUUGUGGCUUUUCCUAGUCGGGCAGUUUGCAGCUCCUACAAGGAACGGGCGCUGGUGGCUCUUCUGGUGCAGAAUGGGCACUGCUAGUGCCAGGGCCACUGGCAGGAGCUGGGAGCAUGUGUUAUUUCCCCAGGCCUUUACUGCCUGCUCCGAGUUUUCUGUAGCCCCAAGGGCAGGGCUACUUCCCAGCUGUUGCUAGGCAGCUGCUGCUGCCCAAUGGCUCUUGGAACUGAGCCCGCAUGAGUGCAGGGGACAAGCCUGUAUUGGUGGAUCCCACCCCUUCCUUCCAGCACCCCCAAAUAAUGGCUCCCAGCCUCUAAGCCUCCACUUAUGCCCUCAAAUGUAGUCACCUCUACUCUAGUCCCUCUAGGCUGUUUCCUUGCAGCCAACCCCGGUUUUUUCCCCACAUACCCAUCCCCAGCUCCCUCUUUGGGUAUGAUCUCUAAGGCCAGAGUUUUAGUUCUUGACACCUGCUGGCACCCACAUCCAGUUGCCCGUAGCACUGACUGUGGAGGAUUGUUUCUAUUUUAACUGCUUCACACAGAUUGUCUAGAGUUCCUCCUCCAUCUUGGCUGAUCUCCUCACUGGUGGGGGACCUUCCCAGGUGCAGAAGCUUUCCACCUCCCUUCUAGCAGCUCUUUCCUCCCUCCUCCUCUUAACAGUGCUUUUUUUCACUUCUUUUUCUUCUUUCUUUUGUCCUAUUUGGUUUUGUGAAGUUUUUCUUGCUCAAUCAUAAUCCUGAGGUCUUUGGUCAGUUUUUAGAAAAUAUUCUGUGCAAAUAUUUCCACAUGGAGAUAUAUUAUCAUUGUAUUUGUGGGAGUAGGUGAGCCUCACAUCUUACUACUCUGCUAUCUUCCGGCAAGGUCCUGAAAGUGUGUGCUUUUAAUUCAGUCUCUCAGGACCUGGAUAAUGAGUGGCUACCAUUGGCUAAUGCCACUAGGGAUCUAACAGUACACGAAUCCUUUCCAGGUAAGAGUGACUCAAUGCUGUCACUGUUAUUGAACAUUUAUCACAAGUGUACUUCUUCCUGUUUUAUACAUAUCCUGGUUUCUCUUCCAUCACACUUUCUCUGGCAGCUUCAUGUGAAAAUAAACUUAGGAAGGUACCUCUUUCUUUCCUUAGGAAGAUUCCUCACUGUUCAUUGGAUGCUGGACUCAUUGUUGGGUUCCAAUUUUUUUACGUGUUUUUUCCUUUGGGUUCCUCCCUUUCAGAAAGUACCCCUAGUCCCCCCACCUGAGGCUGCCAUGUAAAAUGCAGGACAGCAGUUGAAUUUGAACUUUAGGAGUUCCCAUUGUGGUUUAGUGGGUUAAGAACCUGACACAGUGUCCAUGAGAGUGUGGACUCAAUCCCUGGCCUUGCUCAGUGGGUUAAGUAUCUGGCAUUGCUUCAAGCUACAGUGUAGGUCACAGACAUGGCUCGGAUCUGUAGGCUGGCAUUUGCAGCUCUGAUUCAACCUUCUAGCCUGGGAACUUUAUUUGGGACACAUGCAGAGUGUCUUACAUAGAUUUAUUUGUGAAAUCUAGCAACCUUAACCCCAUCCCUAUAUUUUUAUAGCUGGAAAAUGAAUUAUCCACUGUAGAGUGGUGGGGAAAUUACUUGGAAGGCCUUGUUGGUUAGGGAAAAGAGCACAUGAUUUGUUGUUUAAAGAUGCAUGUGUCAGGACAGCUGGGGAAUUACUUACAUUUCAAAAACCUACAUUUCACCCCCAUGAAAUGGGGGUAAUAGUGUCCCAAUAGCUAGGUUUUGUAAAGACCUAGUGAAAUGUUGUAUGUGAAUAGCACUGGGCUCAAUAAAAGCUAAUAACUGUUGUUUUCUAGCAAAGUAAAAUUUGUUCAUUCUCUUUCAUUAUUCCCUCUGAAAAUCUGGAUUCUGAAAAACAGCUAUUCCUCCAUAUGCCCUGCGCCCAAUGCUGUUGGAUUUUGUCCCCCGAACCCUUUCCUUUUUGAACAUCUGAUAGGAAUUUAAAUGAUUGUUAAAGAUGAUUUAAUCAUGAAGUGUACAAAAUCCUCCCCUGGUUUAUAAAUUUCUUAGGAAAGAAUUCAGUUGUUAUAAAAUGAAGGAUUAGUCCAUACCUUUCUUCCUUACAGUGUCCCUCAUGAAUUUGAAUAGCUCACAACCAGUUAUAUCAUCUAAUUCUGAGUGUCACCCUAUUUCACAUCCCAUCGUCACAUCUGAUUACAAGCAAAUAAAAACUCGGUU
This 2540-nucleotide long non-coding RNA is filed under the name Sus scrofa (pig). RNAcentral's name for it is "lncRNA (ENSSSCG00050022292.1)". Lineage: Eukaryota; Metazoa; Chordata; Mammalia; Artiodactyla; Suidae. The record is from RNAcentral.